Molecule: ribosomal RNA, 252 nt
Filed under: uncultured bacterium
Lineage: Bacteria
Description: partial 16S ribosomal RNA
Rfam family: Bacterial small subunit ribosomal RNA
Source: RNAcentral
UACGUAGGGGGCUAGCGUUAUCCGGAAUUACUGGGCGUAAAGGGUGCGUAGGCGGCCCUUCAAGUCAGAGGUGAAAGGCUACGGCUCAACCGUAGUAAGCCUUUGAAACUGUAAGGCUUGAGUGCAGGAGAGGAGAGUAGAAUUCCUAGUGUAGCGGUGAAAUGCGUAGAUAUUAGGAGGAAUACCAGUUGCGAAGGCGGCUCUCUGGACUGUAACUGACGCUGAGGCACGAAAGCGUGGAGAGCGAACAGG